RNAcentral lists this ribosomal RNA (465 nucleotides) under uncultured bacterium. Its description in RNAcentral is "bacterial SSU rRNA". It matches the Rfam family "Bacterial small subunit ribosomal RNA", at positions 338 to 795 of the family's 1533-position model. The record is from RNAcentral. RNAcentral also lists the same sequence under 1 other name.
CCUACGGGUGGCAGCAGUGGGGAAUUUUGGACAAUGGGCGCAAGCCUGAUCCAGCCAUGCCGCGUGUCUGAAGAAGGCCUUCGGGUUGUAAAGGACUUUUGUUAGGGAAGAAAAGGAUAGUGUUAAUACCAUUAUCUGCUGACGGUACCUAAAGAAUAAGCACCGGCUAACUACGUGCCAGCAGCCGCGGUAAUACGUAGGGUGCGAGCGUUAAUCGGAAUUACUGGGCGUAAAGCGAGCGCAGACGGUUUAUUAAGCAAGAUGUGAAAUCCCCGAGCUUAACUUGGGAACUGCGUUUUGAACUGGUAAGCUAGAGUAUGUCAGAGGGGGGUAGAAUUCCACGUGUAGCAGUGAAAUGCGUAGAGAUGUGGAGGAAUACCGAUGGCGAAGGCAGCCCCCUGGGAUAAUACUGACGUUCAUGCUCGAAAGCGUGGGUAGCAAACAGGAUUAGAUACCCCAGUAGUC